GGGGUUGAAUGGAUUUGACAGCGGUCAAGACCGAUCCGUAAGCAUGUAGUGUCCCAAUAGCAGACACUUAAAUAAACGCUAUCAAAAAACAAACGGCGAAGAAAAUUACGCUCUCGCAGCUUAAACCGAAUGGCAGUAGGCAAGGCUUAAUCCCAUGCAAGGCAUGAGGACGGGACAUCAUCCGAAGCCCUCUCUUCGAGGCUUAACGAUUAAGAUGGUGCAACAAUAUCGAAGAUAACAGCAAGUCAGUUCCGAACUUUCUGCGAACACAUCAGGAAACAAGACCGUGCCAUUAUCGCGCUUCCCGAUUAACACGGUACCAAAACAAAUUGGAAGAUAAACAUGUAGUUGUGAAUUGCUUCAAAAUUUUUUACAAAUGCCUGUUUAUAAGCAUGUAGAAAACGGAUUCGUCAAUCGUAUGGAUCGGGGUUCGACUCCCCGCAACUCCACUA
This 452-nucleotide transfer-messenger RNA is filed under the name Tannerella sp. It matches the Rfam family "transfer-messenger RNA". Rfam says of the family: Bacterial tmRNA, also known as 10Sa RNA or SsrA, is named for its dual tRNA and mRNA-like properties. Its role is to liberate the mRNA from a stalled ribosome. The record is from RNAcentral. Lineage: Bacteria; Pseudomonadati; Bacteroidota; Bacteroidia; Bacteroidales; Tannerellaceae.